RNAcentral lists this ribosomal RNA (329 nucleotides) under uncultured Bacilli bacterium. RNAcentral describes it as "bacterial SSU rRNA". It matches the Rfam family "Bacterial small subunit ribosomal RNA", at positions 216 to 525 of the family's 1533-position model. The record is from RNAcentral. Lineage: Bacteria; Bacillati; Bacillota; Bacilli.
CUAUGGGGAUGGGCCCCGCGGUGCAUUAGCUAGUCGGCAAGGUAAAGGGCUUACCAAGGCGAUGAUGCAUAGCCCGAGUUGAGAGACUGAUCGGGCCACAUUGGGGACUGAGACACGGGCCCAAACUCCUACGGGAGGCAGCAGUAGGGAAUCUUCCACAAUGGACGCAAGUCUGAUGGAGCAAACGCCGCGUGAGUGAAGAAGGUUUUCGGAUCGUAAAAAGCUCUGUUGUUGGUGAAGAAGGAUAGAGGUAGUAACUGGCCCUUUAUUUGACGGUAAUCAACCCAGAAAGUCACGGGCUAACUACGUGCCCAGCAGCCGCGGUAAAU